RNAcentral lists this transfer RNA (71 nucleotides) under Marmota monax (woodchuck). RNAcentral describes it as "tRNA.Ala". It matches the Rfam family "tRNA". Rfam says of the family: Transfer RNA (tRNA) molecules are approximately 80 nucleotides in length. Their secondary structure includes four short double-helical elements and three loops (D, anti-codon, and T loops). Further hydrogen bonds mediate the characteristic L-shaped molecular structure. tRNAs have two regions of fundamental functional importance: the anti-codon, which is responsible for specific mRNA codon recognition, and the 3' end, to which the tRNAs corresponding amino acid is attached (by aminoacyl-tRNA synthetases). tRNAs cope with the degeneracy of the genetic code in two manners: having more than one tRNA (with a specific anti-codon) for a particular amino acid; and 'wobble' base-pairing, i.e. permitting non-standard base-pairing at the 3rd anti-codon position. The record is from RNAcentral. Lineage: Eukaryota; Metazoa; Chordata; Mammalia; Rodentia; Sciuridae.
GGGGUUGUGGCUCAGUGGUAGAGCACAUGCCUUGCAUGUGUGAGGCACUGGGUUUGAUCCUCAGCACCACA